This 253-nucleotide ribosomal RNA is filed under the name uncultured bacterium. RNAcentral describes it as "partial 16S ribosomal RNA". It matches the Rfam family "Bacterial small subunit ribosomal RNA", at positions 524 to 776 of the family's 1533-position model. The record is from RNAcentral.
UACGGGGGGGGCAAGCGUUGUUCGGAAUUAUUGGGCGUAAAGGGCUCGUAGGCGGCCAACUAAGUCAGACGUGAAAUCCCUCAGCUUAACUGGGGAACUGCGUCUGAUACUGGAUGGCUUGGAUCCGGGAGAGGGAUGCGGAAUUCCAGGUGUAGCGGUGAAAUGCGUAGAUAUCAGGAGGAACACCGGUGGUGUAGACGGCUUUCUGGACCGUAACUGACGCUGAGACACGAAAGCGUGGGUAGCAAACAGG